CUUUGGUGAUCGUACUGCAAACCGACUCAGGUGGACGGGGUGAAUAUCCCAAGGCGCGUGAGGGAACCCUGGUUAAGGAACUCUGCAAAUUGACACCGUAACUUCGGGAGAAGGUGUGCCGCUGGCGGUUAGUGACUUCGCGUCACGAAGCUGUCGGUGGUCGCAGUGAAAUGGCGGUUGUGACUGUUUACUAAAAACACAGGACUCUGCGAAGUCGUAAGACGACGUAUAGGGUCUGAUGCCUGCCCGGUGCUGGAAGGUUAAGGGGAUAUGUCAGCGCAAGCGAAGCAUUGAACCGAAGCCCCAGUAAACGGCGGCCGUAACUAUAACGGUCCUAAGGUAGCGAAAUUCCUUGUCGGGUAAGUUCCGACCUGCGCGAGGGCAUAACAACAUCCGCACUGUCUCGACCAGGGACUCAGCGAAAUUACAUUGGGGGUGAAGAUGCCCUCUACCCGCGGAAAGACGGAAAGACCCCAUGAACCUUUACUGCAACUUGGCAGUGAUUUUCGGGUUGUUCUGCGUAGGAUAGGUGGGAGGCUUUGAAGCCGGGCUUCCGGGUUCGGCAGAGCCAACGUUGAAAUACCACCCUGAAUAAUCUGGAAAUCUAACCUGCGCCCAUGAUCUGGGCGAGGGACACUGCCUGGUGGGCAGUUUGACUGGGGCGGUCGCCUCCUAAAUUGUAACGGAGGCGUGCGACGGUUCCCUCAGGCUGAUUGGAAACCAGCCGUAGAGUGCAAACGCAUAAGGGAGCUUUACUGCGAGACUGACAAGUCGAACAGUUGCGAAAGCAGGUGUUAGUGAUCCGGUGGUACCACAUGGAAGGGCCAUCGCUCAUCGGAUAAAAGGUACUCUGGGGAUAACAGGCUGAUCGCGCCUGAGAGUUCACAUCGGCGGCGCGGUUUGGCACCUCGAUGUCGGCUCAUCGCAUCCUGGGGCUGGAGCAGGUCCCAAGGGUUUGGCUGUUCGCCAAUUAAAGCGGUACACGAGCUGGGUUUAAAACGUCGUGAGACAGUUUGGUCCCUAUCUUCCGUGGGCGCAGGACACUUGAGAGGAGCUAUCCAUAGUACGAGAGGACCUGGAUGGACGAACCUCUGGUGCUCCGGUUGUCACGCCAGUGGCAUAGCCGGGUAGCCAUGUUCGGAACAGAUAACCGCUGAAGGCAUAUAAGCGGGAAGCUGGCCUCAAGACUAGGUGUCCCUGACGCAAGUCACUAAAGGCCCCUCGAAGACUACGAGGUUGAUAGGCUCGGUGUGGAAGCGCUGCGAGGCGUGGAGCUAACGAGUACUAAUAGGCCGUGCGACUUGACCUC
This 1309-nucleotide ribosomal RNA is filed under the name metagenome. RNAcentral's name for it is "bacterial LSU rRNA". It matches the Rfam family "Bacterial large subunit ribosomal RNA", at positions 1633 to 2925 of the family's 2925-position model. The record is from RNAcentral.